RNAcentral lists this ribosomal RNA (496 nucleotides) under uncultured bacterium. RNAcentral describes it as "partial 16S ribosomal RNA". It matches the Rfam family "Bacterial small subunit ribosomal RNA", at positions 33 to 507 of the family's 1533-position model. The record is from RNAcentral.
AUUCACGCUGGCGGCGUGCCUCAUCCCUGCCAGUCGAGCGCACGGACGAGAAGCUUGCUUCUCUGAUGUUAGCGGCGGACGGGUGAGUAACACGUGGAUAACCUACCUAUAAGACUGGGAUAAUUUCGGGAAACCGGAGCUAAUACCGGAUAAUAUUUUGAACCGCAUGGUUCAAAAGUGAAAGACGGUCUUGCUGUCACUUAUAGAUGGAUCCGCGCUGCAUUAGCUAGUUGGUAAGGUAACGGCUUACCAAGGCAACGAUGCAUAGCCGACCUGAGAGGGUGAUCGGCCACACUGGAACUGAGACACGGUCCAGACUCCUACGGGAGGCAGCAGUAGGGAAUCUUCCGCAAUGGGCGAAAGCCUGACGGAGCAACGCCGCGUGAGUGAUGAAGGUCUUCGGAUCGUAAAACUCUGUUAUUAGGGAAGAACAUAUGUGUAAGUAACUGUGCACAUCUUGACGGUACCUAAUCAGAAAGCCGCGGCUAACUACGUG